UUUUUAAUGUAACACUUUCACCACAUAGAAUAUUACUCAAAACUAAUCGCAUUAUACCAUACAGGAUGCAUGUGUUGACUUAAAGAGACCAUCACCUUGUCCUGUGGCUGGAUACUAGAUUGGACAAGUCGCGUUCGAAAUAGCGUGAGGCUGGUUGGGCCGAGUUAUAUUCGAAGUGGCGUUAGGCUGAUUGGAUCGAGUUACAAUCGAGAUCCGUAGGUGCUGUGUCUGUAUACUUUAAAUGAAUUGAUUGCGUAUUUCUAAUAGCUUAAGCUUUUGAGAUUAAUGGUUAGCGCCAACGAUUCAACUGAAUUUUAAUCAAUGAUAGUAGGGUAAUUUUAAGUAAAAUAAUAUUUUAAUUUUUUUUAAUAUUACUUGUGUUUAAU
Molecule: long non-coding RNA, 386 nt
Filed under: Ananas comosus (pineapple)
Lineage: Eukaryota; Viridiplantae; Streptophyta; Magnoliopsida; Poales; Bromeliaceae
Description: long non-coding RNA (ACOM_LNC000190)
Source: RNAcentral